AUCCAGCUGACGAGUUCGAAAUAGGACAAAACACGCGUCGUGGAU
This 45-nucleotide non-coding RNA is filed under the name Schistosoma curassoni. The record is from RNAcentral. Lineage: Eukaryota; Metazoa; Platyhelminthes; Trematoda; Strigeidida; Schistosomatidae.